Molecule: long non-coding RNA, 859 nt
Organism: Lutra lutra (Eurasian river otter)
Lineage: Eukaryota; Metazoa; Chordata; Mammalia; Carnivora; Mustelidae
Exons: 4
Source: RefSeq, a predicted model, not a curated record
GGGCUGUCCAUUCUCUGCUCACCCUUCACCCCCAGCUCUGGGCCCUGGCAGAUGGACUUCUGUGCUGCCUUGGGCUUUCACCUCCGGUUGGACUGGUCUUUGGGUGGCAUGGGCAGGAGAUGAGUGUGAGGGAGGAGAGGGCUUGGGGGUCUGUAUCCCUCCACUUCUUCCCUGUAGGGCCGAAUGGCCCAGCGGCAGGCUUGUCCAGAACCCAAGGUUCCUGUCUGGCUGCUCUCUCUGGAGACUGCUGGUGUCUGCUAACUGCUCCUUCCUCACCCCCUCAGGUGAGGGGACCGGGAAAGGCUCCUGCAAAUGCUAGCCAGAGGGGGCUCUGCCCUCCCUUGCCUGUCCCUGCACCUCACCCACACCUUUUGUCAAUGGGUCCCUUCCACUCUCCGCAAUUACCCAACUGCAUGUCCCGCCCAGCCCCAGACCACUCCCUGGUCACAGAGCUGCUCCUGCUGCCCCCGGCUCCUCUCUGCAGGCUCAGUCUUUCACGCGUGCACUCAUCACAACAAUCCCACGAGGUGGACACCUGUAUCAGUCCGGUUCAUGAAGGAGGAAACUGAGGCACAGAGAGGACAGCUCUGGACGCUAGGGCCACCGUCAUAUGAAUCUCCUCCAGAGUAGCUUUCUCUGUCCUUUCAAAACAAAUUGGAUUUUCCUGAACAGUCCAAGAUCAAAGGCAGGAGGAAAGAUGAAGAUUUAUUUUCUCGUGCUCAGUUCAUGGAAGAGUUUAGUCCUGCAGAUGUUUAACCAGCUUCACGAGGACAUGCCAAGCCCUGCAAAUUUCUGGGGACACAAUGGUGAAGGGGCACAGGUCUAUGAUUCAUCAGUCUUAUAUAAUACCCAGUUCUCA